UACGAAGGGGGCUAGCGUUGUUCGGAUUUACUGGGCGUAAAGGGCGCGUAGGCGGAUUUUUAAGUCAGGGGUGAAAUCCCAAGGCUCAACCUUGGAACUGCCUUUGAUACUGGGGAUCUUGAGUCCGGGAGAGGUGAGUGGAACUGCGAGUGUAGAGGUGAAAUUCGUAGAUAUUCGCAAGAACACCAGUGGCGAAGGCGGCUCACUGGCCCGGAACUGACGCUGAGGCGCGAAAGCGUGGGGAGCAAACAGG
RNAcentral lists this ribosomal RNA (253 nucleotides) under uncultured bacterium. Its description in RNAcentral is "partial 16S ribosomal RNA". It matches the Rfam family "Bacterial small subunit ribosomal RNA", at positions 524 to 776 of the family's 1533-position model. The record is from RNAcentral.